UUUGUGGUGUCAUCACAAGCACCUGAAAAUGUAUUGAAUAAAAUAUUGUUGCUCCUGGCAUACACCACUCAAAGGCAACAUUACAAAUUACACAAGUUGCAGUCAAGACAAGAAGUACCAUCAUUCAAGCACGAAAAACUUGCCCAAAUAGAAAUGGACACAUAGCGAUCUGAUACAGCAACCAUCACAAUUUCUUGAAGUAGAGGUGUAACUAGAUACCAUAAAAGUAGGACUAGACGUCUAGAACUCUUAGUCUUAAUAUAGCCUAUAAGUCUUGCUUUGCUGAAUGAAUAAUGAAUAUUUUUCCAUGUUUUAAUGGCCCAAAGUACACAUGAGAAAUAAUUGGAGCAUAGUCACAUAGAAGGAAUUGAAAUAUAAUAUCCAUGUAGAAGCAGGAAAAGAAACUGCAUCAAGAUUAUGCAUAACCCACGCCCAGAACUACCUCCCAUCAUCAAUAAGAAUCAUCAGAAAACCAAUCAAUAACUAAGAAAACUGGAGAAUAUUUUGGCUACUGUGUUUUCUUAAAACUGGUUUUGACAAUUAUGAUUUCAGAUGUACACAAACAGUAGCCUAAAUUGACAAAAAUUUUGGAUGGAAUAUGAGACUUUAGUACCAAGACAUUGAAAGAGAUCUAUUGCAAAAUAGACUAGGCGUAACUCCAUCAAAAGAAAAUUUGUGGGAGGACGAUUGCCCAAGUCAAAUAUGAAACAUUUUCUCUCAAAACCCAAAUACUACCUAGCCGAUGUGAGACAACACACCCUCGCACGUCUAGCACUGUAAUCUAGAGUGUGAAAUUUGCUAGACUGGACAUCUAUGGGAAAUAUCCGAUGCAAAUCAUUAAAAAACGAAAAUAGAAAUUCCAAUG
This 865-nucleotide unclassified non-coding RNA is filed under the name Hevea brasiliensis (rubber tree). Lineage: Eukaryota; Viridiplantae; Streptophyta; Magnoliopsida; Malpighiales; Euphorbiaceae. The record is from RNAcentral.